GUCUCAGGCCGUAUCAGCCUGAAGGCGCCCGAUCUCGUCUGAUUUCGGAAGCUAAGCAGGGUCGGGCCUGGUUAGUAUCUUGGAUGGGAGACCACCUGGGAAUCCCGGGUGCUCGAGGCU
Molecule: ribosomal RNA, 120 nt
Filed under: Bison bison bison
Lineage: Eukaryota; Metazoa; Chordata; Mammalia; Artiodactyla; Bovidae
Source: RNAcentral